CUGCUUCUUUCUUCUUCCUGGUUCCUUCUUCUCUGUACCUUCCUCUAGCGCAAGCAGAAACAAGCAAGCAAAGCAACAGGCGCAGCAGCUAGCAUGGCCCCUUCCGAUCUUUCUUUCUUCUCCCGCAAGAGCAGCAGAGCAGCGCAGCUCGCCCCUGCGCUUGCUCCCGCGCGUGGCCGCCUGCUCGCCCGUCGCCUGGGCCGCACACCCCUUCUUCCAUGCCUGGCAGCGCCACGUCGCCCACCUGCACCUGCGCCUGGCCGCCCGUGCUCGCCUUGGCCCGGUCCUCCUGCGCAGCUACGCCGCAUGCCUCUGCUCGCCCUGGCCGCGUGCGCCGCUAGCCCCUGCGUGCGCCCAUCCCUUUGCGCCACGCCUGAUCAAGGAAGAGAAGAGGAGGGACCGCAGGAGGAGAUGGAGCCGGAGCCCGCGAGGAGGAAGACACCGCCGUUGAAGCCGAACCGCGAGCAGCUGGUCGACCACGUGCUGAACCGCAAGUUGCCGCCUCGGUCGCCUACAACCUGUUCGACCAAAUGCUCCAACCGAUCUGUCAAGCCCCUAGGUUCUGGAUAUUUAUUAUAAUUACGAAUCUUGGAACCGAAGGAUUUGAAGGAUCUCGAAGAACCAAGCUACGUCAGGAGGAGGAUGUACAACCUGGCACCUAAGUUGAAGCCAAUGGAUCUUGAGCUCAAGCCUGGGCACAUUAUUCAUCUGGUUUUUGCUUCCCUGCCAAAAGAAUUUGAUACUUUUGUUGUUAACUACAACAUGUAGCCAGAAUAGUGGGACAUGAAAAAGAUGAUAGCCAUGUGCGUGGAAGAAGAGGACAGAAUCAGAUCUUCACAUGGUGGUUCUUUGAACUAUGUGAAGGAUAACAAGAAAAAGAAUACACAUGCUAGCUCCUCUUCCAAGCCACGUGGAAAGGCUCCCAUGCAGCAACAGAAUCAGCAAAAGCCCUUCACAGUUGACAAAGAUUAGUGCCUCCACUGCAAGAAACGGGGGCAUUACAAGAAAGAUUGCCCCGAUUUGUUGAAGUCGAUAAUGGCGAAGAAAGGGAUUCUGUUCGACGAGGACUACGCAAAGAAGUGAAAGAUGCGUUGAAGUCGCAAAUGGAGUCCAAGCAGAUGUUGAUGGUUUCACACUUCUGCUUAGAGAUGUUCUUUAUGUUCCUUCAUUACACAGAAACUUGAUUAGUAUUUCACGUUUAGAUAAAGAUGGUUAUGAAUGUAAUUUUGGACAUGGCAAGUGUGCCAUUUGGUUUCAUAAUGCAUGUGUUGGCGUCGCUACCCUUCACAAUGAGCUUUAUUUAUUA
Setaria italica (foxtail millet) is the source of this 1306-nucleotide long non-coding RNA. RefSeq lists it as uncharacterized. The record is from RefSeq and is a predicted model, not a curated record. The transcript has 3 exons. NCBI's taxonomy places the organism in Eukaryota, Viridiplantae, Streptophyta, Magnoliopsida, Poales, Poaceae.